RNAcentral lists this ribosomal RNA (237 nucleotides) under Neodidymelliopsis farokhinejadii. Its description in RNAcentral is "partial 28S ribosomal RNA". It matches the Rfam family "Eukaryotic large subunit ribosomal RNA", at positions 1 to 231 of the family's 3401-position model. The record is from RNAcentral. Lineage: Eukaryota; Fungi; Ascomycota; Dothideomycetes; Pleosporales; Didymellaceae.
UUGACCUCGGAUCAGGUAGGGAUACCCGCUGAACUUAAGCAUAUCAAUAAGCGGAGGAAAAGAAACCAACAGGGAUUGCCCUACUAACGGCGAGUGAAGCGGCAACAGCUCAAUUUGAAAUCUGGCGUCUUUUGGCGUCCGAGUUGUAACUUGCAGAGGGCGCUUUGGGAAUCGGCAUCAGUCCAAGUUCCUUGUUAUCAAGACGUCACAGAGGGAGAGGAAUCACGUACGUGAUCG